GACGAACGCUGGCGGCGUGCUUAACACAUGCAAGUCGAACGGAAAGGCCCUGCUUUUGUGGGGUGCUCGAGUGGCGAACGGGUGAGUAACACGUGAGUAACCUGCUCUUUACUUUGGGAUAACUUCAGGAAACUGGGGCAAAUACCGGAUAGGAGCUCCUGCUGCAUGGUGGGGGUUGGAAAGUUUCGGCGGUUGGGGAUGGACUCGCGGCUUAUCAGCUUGUUGGUGGGGUAGUGGCUUACCAAGGCUUUGACGGGUAGCCGGCCUGAGAGGGUGACCGGCCACAUUGGGACUGAGAUACGGCCCAGACUCCUACGGGAGGCAGCAGUGGGGAAUAUUGCACAAUGGGCGGAAGCCUGAUGCAGCAACGCCGCGUGCGGGAUGACGGCCUUCGGGUUGUAAACCGCUUUCGCCUGUGACGAAGCGUGAGUGACGGUAAUGGGUAAAGAAGCACCGGCUAACUACGUG
RNAcentral lists this ribosomal RNA (468 nucleotides) under uncultured bacterium. Its description in RNAcentral is "partial 16S ribosomal RNA". It matches the Rfam family "Bacterial small subunit ribosomal RNA", at positions 28 to 507 of the family's 1533-position model. The record is from RNAcentral.